This 253-nucleotide ribosomal RNA is filed under the name uncultured bacterium. RNAcentral's name for it is "partial 16S ribosomal RNA". It matches the Rfam family "Bacterial small subunit ribosomal RNA", at positions 524 to 776 of the family's 1533-position model. The record is from RNAcentral.
UACGUAGGGGGCUAGCGUUGUCCGGAUUUAUUGGGCGUAAAGAGCGUGUAGGCGGCCAGGUAGGUCUGCUGUGAAAACUCGAGGCUCAACCUCGAGACGUCGGCGGAAACCAUCUGGCUAGAGUCCGGAAGAGGAGAGUGGAAUUCCUGGUGUAGCGGUGAAAUUCGUAGAUAUUAGGAAGAACACCAGUGGCGAAGGCGGCUCACUGGUCCGGUACUGACGCUGAGGUGCGAAAGCGUGGGGAGCAAACAGG